RNAcentral lists this long non-coding RNA (365 nucleotides) under Solanum tuberosum (potato). RNAcentral's name for it is "long non-coding RNA (STUB_LNC009221)". Lineage: Eukaryota; Viridiplantae; Streptophyta; Magnoliopsida; Solanales; Solanaceae. The record is from RNAcentral.
AUCUAUCGUAAAAAUACUAUAAAUCAUGAUAAUUGACAACAUAAAAUAUUUCAAAAAUGUUGUAUGUGGGUAGUCUUAUUAUGCCUUAAAUAGCGUCAAAGAAAGUACAAGUUUGUGAUAAAAAAAUUUAUUCCUUUAUCCACGCAAACAAUUUCUUCAAAAAUUCGGUUAUUUGCCCCAAAACAUACCAUUUAUAUUAUUAGGCCCGUGCAUAGCAUGGGCAACAUUAUCUAGUAUUAAAAAAAGAAGCAGAUUCCUCUGAUUUACUGUCACAUUAGUCACCCUUGUAUGUCGCGUUGAAAAGGAGAGUUUUAUUGCAUAUAUAUAGCAAACAAUGCAAAUGAAAACAAGAGUCAUGCGUAGCA